Long non-coding RNA from Hyla sarda, 6392 nucleotides. RefSeq lists it as uncharacterized. Lineage: Eukaryota; Metazoa; Chordata; Amphibia; Anura; Hylidae. The transcript has 6 exons. The record is from RefSeq and is a predicted model, not a curated record.
UGUUAUAUAUGUGUAGUACAGACUGCGGGUGUGAGGGGUGACAUGUUAUAUAUGUGUAGUACAGACUGCGGGUGUGGGGGGUGACAUGUUAUAUAUGUGUAGUACAGGGUGUGAUGGGUGACAUGUUACAUAUGUGUAGUACAGGGUGUGAUGGGUGACAUGUUAUAUAUGUGUAGUACAGGGUGUGAUGGGUGACAUGUUAUAUAUGUGUAGUACAGGGUGUGAGGGGUGACAUGUUAUAUAUGUGUAGUACAGGGUGUGAUGGGUGACAUGUUAUAUAUGUGUAGUACAGGGUCUGAGGGGUGGCAUGUAUAUGGUAUAUGAAAAAUAGGAAAAGGGGGUGAUUUAAAUUAUUGUUUAGGUCAGGGACUAGUUUGCAGCGUACCUGUCAGAUCCCACAAAAAAAAUAAACUGUUAUGUUACUCAGUGCCUCAUCCUGAUCAUGAACAUAUAAUUUUUAUGUAUCUAUCACUGAUACUACACAAAAAAAUAGCAUAUUACAGCUGCUCAAUGUCUUUUCCAUCUUCCCAAAGGGAGGGGGUGUGUCCUUCUCUUGCCUGCACUGUGAUGACUCCUCCCUCCCUCUGCUGUCUGAAUGCUCUCAGGAGCGAGCUCGGCAGCCCUGCUCUGUAACCCUUUCAUCUCUGGAUUUAUGCUGCACACACACACACAAUGAUUAUUGGAGAUUGCCUGUACUCUACCACCAAAGACAAUAUGAUUGGGGAACAGAUGAGAAGGAGCAAGGACAGGCGAAAACGGUGAAUGGGGAAUCACUUGAACAACUAAGGAGCAUGACUGUCAGACUACAUGGCAACUUACGGUCACACGCGAGGUUGUACUGAGCCGUAAAAUGUUCAUGUCUAUGAGCCCCUAGGCCGGUUUCACAUUGGCGAUAUUACAGCCAAAACACCCAGCUGUGUAGUAGUCCUGAAGAACCACACGUAGGUCACUAGAGAACCUGAAUUACUCCUGUGAGAAACUCAACUUACAUAGGUACAUGCACCUUAUUUCUCCUUGUGACUGCUUGCUGGCCAUACUAUUCUACCCUACUAUAAGUCCUGGUGGUAUCUGAGCACUGGAAACCAUUGAUAGGACCCAGGAAAAGCAACUGCUAUAGUUUCAAGAGAUGUGCCUUAUUCAGCGCAUCCUAACCAGGAGGAAUAACAGAGGAAUAACAUUACAGAAAAGAUCCAGAGUUGAAAUCACAAAGGCUAAAUUCGCAAUACGGAAUUUCUAAGCAGAGAAAUUUCACUCUUAAAAUUACAGUGCAGAAGCCUCCCAUUGUCUUCAAUGGAAUUCUGUGGAAAUUGAAAUUCCGGACUCCACCAAAAGAAAAAAUCAGCUUGGAAAUGCAUUGCUGUCUAUGGAGGUGCCGCAUGUCCGAAGAGUCCUCAUUUGGUGCCUGCUGUACACAGAAUGUCCCAAACAGGGCCUUAAUACGUGUUUACAGAAUUUCUCCGGGAUUAGAACCUGAAGCUUGCGGAACCUCUUGAGAAUUACGGCCGUCAAUCCUUGAGCUCGUGGAUGAAGGCGCUAAUUAUAAUUUAUGUCCGUGAAGCUGUACGCAGACCUAAAAGAGUUCCCACAUGACUGGGGCACUUUUAUCUUCACAGUCUUAUGAGUCAUUGCCCCCUGUAGUGCAAGUAAGUCUAGCCUUGCCAGGGAGUUCUGUCAUAGCAUUACGGGACAUGGGGUGGGGAUUUACUAGAUUCUGUGUGGUAUCUCUGCAAUGGAAGCUGUGACAUGUUCUCCAGGACUCUCUCCUCUUAUAACUUGGCUUCGGUUCUAACAAUGUUUUGCACGGUCUUAUCCCCCGUCAGGCUAUAACAUUUCAUGUUUACAACAUACAAACACUUUAGACAAAGUUUCCUAUCCUGCGUGGAAGCAGCUGACGCCAGUCCAUAACCGCCUGCCCCCCCCCCCCAAAAUAACAAAAAACAUGGUGGGAAAAGAGGCACACAUGCCAUAACUUACAGGAAAAAGGGUGUGAGCGAAAGUGCUGGGAGCCUUCAGACCCCAAAGGAACAUAUCCCAAAAGAGAAGCGUCCACAACGGGCAUUAUAAACGGAAAGAGAGGCAGCUGAGGGUGGGGAUCGGGAAGGGGGAGACCGAUUCCACACACGGGACACAUUUCUAUUUUUUAUGGGAAGGGUAUUUUUAGAAGUCUCCCUCGCUCUCACACCAGAACCCUGGUCCCAGGGUGCGGUUCUUGUUUGACAGACUUUGCGGCAGAAUGCCAGGCUGAAUUCUAGCUGGGAGUGCAAAGAUGAAGGACGCCAAGGGAAGGGGGGGGGGGGCGCGACGCAGGGAUAGACAUGUAUCAGCCAUGUGGGAGGGCGAGAGGAAAAAGUUUGUUCCUAAGUCAGGAUAUAGAAACAGAGUUUAUAAUAAACUAGCUGCAGAUAGAAGCUGAGCCGGCAGCUAUUUAUAGUGCGUGGUUGGGUCAGAACAGCUUCCUACUUCUUAAAUACAGACAACUCCUCUUACAGCACUGAGACUGGUGGGGACAUGUCAUACCGGAUUGUUUAUUUCCAGACGAGCCGGCUGAUACUGACAUACACAUCAAAGACAGCAUACCGAGUAUAUAAACAUAGUCAGUACUCAGCACACAGGUACCUACAAUACAGAUAUACAUGGUGACGACUAAAAAGCUUCUUACAACGAUCCAUUAUCCUAUAAUAUAGAACAUAGUAACAGUUCGUAAGGUUGAAAAAAGACCAAGGUCCAUCAAGUUCAACCUAUAACCCUAAUGAGUCCCUACUGAGUUGAUCCAGAGGCAAAAAACCCUCAUACUAGAGGUAAAAAUUCCUUCCCGACUCCAAAUAUGGCAUCAGAAUAAAUCACUGGAUCAACCUUCUGUCCCUAUAAAUCUAGAAUCCAUAACCUGUAAUGUUAUUACUCUCCAAAAAUGCAUCCAGACCCCUUUUAAAUUAUUUUACCGAGUUAACCAUGACCCCCUCCUCAGGCAGAGAAUUCCACAGUCUCACUUGGAAAUUCUGCAGUGUGAAUGGGUCUUGCGGAGACCCAUUCACACUAAUGUUAAGUUCACACCACGGAAUUCCGCUCGUUGAACUCCGCGGGAAUUCCGUAGUGUGAACGCACCCUAAUUCUUCUUAAUCUUUCUUGGUACUGUAGUCUGCCCAUUCCCCGUAUUACUCUGGUUGCCCAUCUUUGAACCCUCUCCAGCUCCACUGUAUCUUUCUUGUAUACUGGUGCCCAGUACUGUACACCUUAUUCUAUGUGUGAUCUGACUAGUGAUUUGUACAGCGGUAGAAUUACUUCCUUGUCGUGGGCAUCUAUGCCCCUAUUGAUGCCACCCAUGAUUUUAUUUGCCUUGGCAGCAGCUGCCCGACACUGGUCACUACAGCUAAAUUUACUAUUAACUAAGACCCCUAAGUCCUUUUCCAUGUCAGUCGUCCCAAAUGUUCUCCCAUUUCAUACAUAAUCCCAGCCCGGAUUUUUCCUCCCCAUGUGCAUUACCUUACAUUUAUCAGUGUUGAACCUCAUCUGCCACUUCCCAUCCUUUCUUGGUGAAAAAUCCAAAAUGUUAUGAAAAUUUAACAUUUUUCUAACUUUGAAACUUUCUGCUUGUAAGGAAAAUGGACAUUCCAAAUAACAUAUAUUGAUUCACAAAUACAACAUGUCUACUUUAGGUUUGUAUCAUGAAGUUGACAUGUUUGUACUUUUUGAAGACAUUAAUGGGCUUCAAAGUAUAGCAGCAAUUUUCAAAAUUUCACAAAAAAAUUGUAAAUCUGAAUUUUCAGGGAUCAGUUAAGUUUGAAGUGGAUUUGAGGAGCCUUUCUGUGAGAAAUACCCCAUAUAUGACCCCAUUAUAGAAACUGCACCCCUCAAAGUAUUCAAAUUGACAUUCAGAAAGUUUAACACUUUAGGUGUUUCACAGGAAUAGCAGCAAAGUGAAGGAGAAAAUUCUAAAUCUUCAUUUUUUACACUCGCAUGUUCUUGUAGAGCCAUUUUUCUUAUUUUUACAAGUGGUAAAAGGAGAGAAUUCCGCCCAAAAUUUAACCCAAUUUCUCUUGAGUAAGGAAAUACCUCAUAUGUGGAUGUAAAGUGUUCUGCAGGCGCAGUAGAGGGCUCAGAAGGGAAGGAGCGACAAUGGGAUUUUGGAGAGUGAAUUUUGGGUGGCUUAUAGCAAACCCCUAUCUGUAUUUUUUUUUUAUCUCCAUAUAUGUAUACCCAUAAUGACUCCACAUUAUCGUUUCCCUCCUGUAUAUCCUCUCGCAGUGCGGCCUUCAGACUCGAUUUCACAUAAAGACAAACUCCUCCCUCUUUACGUUUUGUCCGAUCCUUCCUGAAUAGACUAUAACCCUGGUGCUCCUCCAGAUCCAGGAUUUGGGCUUCCAAAUUAACAACUCGCACACAUCUCGCACAACAAUAUGCACCCUCAAACUGCUCUUUAAGGAUUGCAUACAUUGUGCAUGCCCACUGGACUGCCUUUUUCAACAUGGAGGCCAUACUAAAUUUGGGGAUUGCAAAAAUUAACAGUAAAAAACAAUCAAAUAUUUCAAUUAAACUCCCUGAAUUUAAAGUCCCUUAAUUUUAAGUCCCUCUCACUUUUAUACUUACACUCACUUGUAUACUUCACACUCUUGUAUACAGACACACAAUCACUAGCUCAGACAAUCGCUUAGUAUACUUUCUUUUAUAGUUACCAGACACCACCUCUGCCUGGAAGUGAAUGCCAAAUGUUAGUAGUAAUGACGGCCCAUUGAGUUGUGUUAUUAAAGGGGUCCAUCAAUGCUGCUGAGAACCUCAUGAUCAUCUCUACUUUGUGGAGGAAUCCAGCAACAAGUGUUCAUUUUUCCUGCAACUCCACCACUGGAGAAAUAAAGUAUUACAUGUCUGAAACCACUGGAAUGUCUGUGUAAUGUAUGGUCAUCCAGAUAGAGACGGGCUCUUGUAGGCUUUUCUCAUGGAGGUCCUGAAUGAGGAACUUUGUCUUAUCUAAAUUCUUCAAAGAAGCCAUUGUAUACACCAUCAUGUCAUAGGUAGGGGGCAGAAUUAUAUGCUGGCACCUUGGCCCACAUUCUUAAGACUAUAACAAUGCCAAACUUCUAUAUUUGAUCCAUGGUCAAAACCACCUAGAUCUGGUCUGACCAGUUGAGCUCAUCAUCUUGGAGACCUUUACAUCAGCCAUCAACUCUUGGAAGGAGGAGAAGAACCAUUUUUUUUUUUUUUUAACAAUAGCACAUUCAUGGGCAACUUAGGAAAAAAAUCUAUCACAGGGUAAUGGACAAAAGUUUAGAGCUCAACAACAGGUCGGCAAACUUUAUAAUAUCUGGAAGGACAGUUUAAGUGGAUCUCAUGAAUGUUGUCUGGCCCAUUUAUUUAUCUGGUGCUUUGGUUGAUGGAGACUGCUUACAGCCACUGGGGGCAUCUUUGCUGACCAGACGAGUUUGAGUUGACGCAUACAACAUGAUAUUAAAUGUCUACCAUGAAAUUGUACAAGCACAAACAACGAGGUUGCCAAAACAACCAUUGUAAAACUUAGCAUCCAAAAGGCAGGAACAAAUAUAAAAAGGUGGGUCCACAUAUGUUCAGGGAUCCAGUAUAGUUUCCCUGCAGCUGGUAAGUGGACAAGUCUGGUGCCAUGUCCCAUAUGGAGAGGCUGGAGGGGAUGCCACGUACAACAGAUCCAGCUUCUAGCAUAUGGCUUUUCCCAUAAGGGUAGCCCAAGGAUGGGCAUAUAUACGUGACCGAACUCUAAAAAAAUUGCUGCACAAAUGCAAACAGCAACCAUCGUAGAAUGACACACAAUCUUAUUCACGUACAAUGGCCUAGGGAAGAUAAAACAGAUAGACAAGUGCAGAUACACUCACUCAAGAGUAUCUGCGAUUACCCCCAGGCUGAUAAAAUGGUCAGACCCCCACAGGGCUACAUGAAAGGCAGUCUGAGCCCUAACCGUGACCUCGGGGUCAUCAGUUCAUGACCCAAAAGUCACCUGGUCAUCUGAAAGGAGGAGGGUCUGUUGGCAGGAGUUUCAAGGGAAAGAACAGCACCCAUGGAAGGUGUGAGUGAGAUGGACAGAAUGCACUCAGCCAUGCGAUUCAAUGUAACACUCCGUCCUAUGUUAUCAUUGAACCGACACCUGAUAGCGUUCAGCCCUAUAACUAACCCCAUGAGACCCAAUGAAUGGUAUGCUGUGGGCGAUGAUGUCAUCAUCUGGAAUGCAGGCUGCCACCAUUGUCCAUAGAGGCAAUGAUCACACAAUAUCGGAAAACAUUGUGGGGGGGAUGUGACCUGUCGCCUAUAUACAAAGAAGGUCACAUAAGAUAUAUACAACCACCGAGGGGCUCCACUAUGUUCUCUUUGAUGUCCACUUCUUGAAAAACUACAGGGGAUAAUGGAUGCAGAUUGUCUUUCUUCAAGAACGA